AUUGAACGCUGGCGGCAGGCCUAACACAUGCAAGUCGAGCGGAUGAAGGGAGCUUGCUCCUGGAUUCAGCGGCGGACGGGUGAGUAAUGCCUAGGAAUCUGCCUGGUAGUGGGGGAUAACGUCCGGAAACGGGCGCUAAUACCGCAUACGUCCUGAGGGAGAAAGUGGGGGAUCUUCGGACCUCACGCUAUCAGAUGAGCCUAGGUCGGAUUAGCUAGUUGGUGGGGUAAAGGCCUACCAAGGCGACGAUCCGUAACUGGUCUGAGAGGAUGAUCAGUCACCUUGGAGCUGAGACACGGUCCAGGCUCCUACGGGAGGCAGCAGUGGGGAAUAUUGGACAAUGGGCGAAAGCCUGAUCCAGCCAUGCCGCGUGUGUGAAGAAGAUCUUCGGAUUGUAAAGCACUUUAAGUUGGGAUGAAGGGCAGUAAGUUAAUACCUUGCUGUUUUGACGUUACCAACAGAAUAAGCACCGGCUAACUUUGUG
This 484-nucleotide ribosomal RNA is filed under the name uncultured bacterium. RNAcentral describes it as "partial 16S ribosomal RNA". It matches the Rfam family "Bacterial small subunit ribosomal RNA", at positions 30 to 507 of the family's 1533-position model. The record is from RNAcentral.